RNAcentral lists this ribosomal RNA (492 nucleotides) under uncultured bacterium. RNAcentral describes it as "partial 16S ribosomal RNA". It matches the Rfam family "Bacterial small subunit ribosomal RNA", at positions 29 to 507 of the family's 1533-position model. The record is from RNAcentral.
AGUGAACGCUGGCGGUAGGCCUAACACAUGCAAGUCGAACGGCAGCACAGUAAGAGCUUGCUCUUACGGGUGGCGAGUGGCGGACGGGUGGGGAAUACAUCGGAAUCUACUUUUUCGUGGGGGAUAACGUAGGGAAACUUACGCUAAUACCGCAUACGACCUACGGGUGAAAGCAGGGGAUCUUCGGACCUUGCGCGAUUGAAUGAGCCGAUGUCGGAUUAGCUAGUUGGCGGGGUAAAGGCCCACCAAGGCGACGAUCCGUAGCUGGUCUGAGAGGAUGAUCAGCCACACUGGAACUGAGACACGGUCCAGACUCCUACGGGAGGAAGCAGUGGGGAAUAUUGGACAAUGGGCGCAAGCCUGAUCCAGCCAUACCGCGUGGGUGAAGAAGGCCUUCGGGUUGUAAAGCCCUUUUGUUGGGAAAGAAAAGCAGCAGGUUAAUACCCCGCUGUUCUGACGGUACCCAAAGAAUAAGCACCGGCUAACUUCGUG